UAAAGAUUUUAAGGGCGUACGGUGGAUGCCUUGGCGAUAUCAGCCGAAGAAGGACGCGGUAAGCUGCGAUAAGCUACGGAGAGGUGCAAGCAACCUGUGACCCGUAGAUUUCCGAAUGGGGGAACCCGGCAGUGGUUAUGCACUGUCACCCAUACCUUUGAGUAUGAGGAGGGCACCUGGGGAACUGAAACAUCUAAUUACCCAGAGGAACAGUAAUCAAACGAGAUUUUCUUAGUAGCGGCGAGCGAACGGGAAAGAGGCCAAACCGGAGCGGGCAACCGCACCGGGGUUGAGGACAGUCAUCAAGUGUAAAUGAGGUAGAAGAAUCGAGCUGGAAAGCUCAGCCGCAGAAGGUGAAAGCCCUGUAAUCGAAACCUUGCAUACAUGGGACUGUAUCCAGAGUACCACGAGACACGUGAAACCUUGUGGGAAGCAGGGGGGACCACCCUCCAAGCCAAAAUACUGAUAUCGACCGAUAGCGCAUAGUACCGUGAGGGAAAGGUGAAAAGAACCCCUGGCGGGGAGUGAAAGAGAACCUGAAACCGUAUGUCUACAAACAGUCGAAGUCUGUAUAUAUAUCAGGACGACGGCGUGCCUAUUGAAGAAUGAACCGACGAGUUACUGUUGCUAGCGAGGUUAAGUGGAAAACAUGGAGCCGCAGCGAAAGCGAGUCUGAACAGGGCGUUCAGUUAGUAAUAGUAGACCCGAAACCGUAGUGAUCUAUCCAUGGCCAGGUUGAAGCACAGGUAAAAUUGUGUGGAGGACCGAACUCGUGAGCGUUGAAAAGCUUUGGGAUGAGUUGUGGAUAGGGGUGAAAUGCCAAUCGAACACGGAGAUAGCUGGUUCUCCCCGAAAUAGCUUUAGGGCUAGCCUCGAGGUAGAGAGUAUAGGCGGUAGAGCACUGAUCGGGCUAGGGGCCAUACCGGUUACCGAACCUAGUCAAACUACGAAUGGCUAUACUUAUACUCGGGAGUCAGACAGUGAAUGAUAAGGUCCAUUGUCAAGAGGGAAACAGCCCAGAACACCGACUAAGGUCCCCAAUGUUACACUAAGUGGCGAAGGAUGUGGAAUUUCCAAAACAACCAGGAUGUUGGCUUAGAAGCAGCCACCAUUUAAAGAGUGCGUAAUAGCUCACUGGUCGAGAGACUCUGCGCCGAAAAUGUCCGGGGCUAAAGUGUAAAACCGAAGUCGUGUCAUAUGCAGCAAUGUAUAUGGGUAGGGGAGCGUUCUCAUCGGGCUGAAGCAGUACCGUAAGGAGUUGUGGACUGAUGAGAAGUGAGAAUGUCGGUAUGAGUAGCGAAAAGAAUGGUGAGAAUCCAUUCCACCGAAAGCCUAAGGGUUCCUGAGCAACGAUCGUCGUCUCAGGGUAAGUCGGGACCUAAGCCGAGGCGGAAAAGCGUAGGCGAUGGACAACAGGUUGAAAUUCCUGUACCGGUGUGAAUCGUUUGAUCGAUGGAGUGACACAGUAAGGUAGGUCAGCACGCGAUUGGAAGAGCGUGUUUAAGCAGGUAGGUUGAGCUAUAGGCAAAUCCGUAGCUCUAAAAGCUGAGAUGUGAUGACGAGUGACUAGCAAUAGUCGCGAAGUGAUUGAUCCUACACUGUCGAGAAAAGCUUCUAGGUAGAGACACAUCGCCCGUACCAAAACCGACACAGGUAGGCGGGGAGAGAAUCCUAAGGUGCGCGGGAAAACCCUCGUUAAGGAACUCGGCAAAAUGCCUCCGUAACUUCGGGAAAAGGAGGACUCAUGUAGUGUGAAGAGCAGAAGCGCUUGGAGCAUGAAUGAGUGGCACAAGAGAGGCGCAAGCGACUGUUUACCACAAACACAGGUGCCUGCUAAAGCGAAAGCUGAUGUAUAGGUGCUGACACCUGCCCGGUGCUGGAAGGUUAAGAGGAGGGGUUAGACUUCGGUCGAAGCUCUGAAUUGAAGCCCCAGUAAACGGCGGCCGUAACUAUAACGGUCCUAAGGUAGCGAAAUUCCUUGUCGGGUAAGUUCC
This 1994-nucleotide ribosomal RNA is filed under the name human gut metagenome. Its description in RNAcentral is "bacterial LSU rRNA". It matches the Rfam family "Bacterial large subunit ribosomal RNA", at positions 1 to 1984 of the family's 2925-position model. The record is from RNAcentral.